GACGAACGCUGGCGGCGUGCCUAAUACAUGCAAGUAGAACGCACAGUUUAUACCUUAGCUUGCUACACCAUACACUGUGAGUUGCGAACGGGUGAGUAACGCGUAGGUAACCUGCCUGGUAGCGGGGGAUAACUAUUGGAAACGAUAGCUAAUACCGCAUAAUAUUGAUUAUUGCAUGAUAAUUGAUUGAAAGAUGCUAUUGCAUCACUACCAGAUGGACCUGCGUUGUAUUAGCUAGUAGGUGAGGUAACGGCUCACCUAGGCGACGAUACAUAGCCGACCUGAGAGGGUGAUCGGCCACACUGGGACUGAGACACGGCCCAGACUCCUACGGGAGGCAGCAGUAGGGAAUCUUCGGCAAUGGACGAAAGUCUGACCGAGCAACGCCGCGUGAGUGAAGAAGGGUUUCGGAUCGUAAAGCUCUGUUGUAAGAGAAGAACGGGUGUGAGAGUGGAAAGUUCACACUGUGACGGUAUCUUACCAGAAAGGGACGGCUAACUACGUG
This 505-nucleotide ribosomal RNA is filed under the name uncultured bacterium. RNAcentral describes it as "partial 16S ribosomal RNA". It matches the Rfam family "Bacterial small subunit ribosomal RNA", at positions 28 to 507 of the family's 1533-position model. The record is from RNAcentral.